GAUGAACGCUGGCGGCGUGCUUAACACAUGCAAGUCGAACGGGGAUUAUACGCUGAUGCGAUUUCGGUCAAAUCUUGUGUAAUCCCAGUGGCGGACGGGUGAGUAACGCGUGGGUAACCUGCCUUACACCGGGGGAUAACACUUAGAAAUAGGUGCUAAUACCGCAUAAGCGCACGGUCCUGCAUGGGACAGUGUGAAAAACUCCGGUGGUGUAAGAUGGACCCGCGUCUGAUUAGCUUGUUGGCGGGGUAACGGCCCACCAAGGCGACGAUCAGUAGCCGGCCUGAGAGGGUGGACGGCCACAUUGGGACUGAGACACGGCCCAA
This 326-nucleotide ribosomal RNA is filed under the name uncultured bacterium. RNAcentral describes it as "bacterial SSU rRNA". It matches the Rfam family "Bacterial small subunit ribosomal RNA", at positions 28 to 334 of the family's 1533-position model. The record is from RNAcentral.